RNAcentral lists this ribosomal RNA (443 nucleotides) under uncultured bacterium. RNAcentral describes it as "partial 16S ribosomal RNA". It matches the Rfam family "Bacterial small subunit ribosomal RNA", at positions 338 to 795 of the family's 1533-position model. The record is from RNAcentral.
CCUACGGGAGGCAGCAGUGGGGAAUAUUCGGCAAUGGGCGCAAGCCUGACCCAGCAACGCCGCGUGAAUGAAGAAGGCCCUCGGGUUGUAAACCUCUUUUAUCAGGGACGAAACAAAGGACGGUACCUGAUGAAUAAGCCACGGCUAACUACGUGCCAGCCGCCGCGGUAAUACGUAGGUGGCAAGCGUUAUCCGGAUUUACUGGGUGUAAAGGGCGGGUAGGCGGGAGAGUAAGUCAGACGUGAAAUUCCAGGGCUUAACCCUGGAACUGCGUUUGAAACUGUUCGUCUUGAGUGCUGGAGAGGCAGGCGGAAUUCCGUGUGUAGCGGUGAAAUGCGUAGAUAUACGGAAGAACACCAGUGGCGAAGGCGGCCUGCUGGACAUUAACUGACGCUGAGGCGCGAAAGCGUGGGGAGCAAACAGGAUUAGAUACCCCUGUAGUC